AAUUACUCCAACACUCUGAAGCUCAAAUUUCUCUGUUGAUAGGUCCAAAGAGAAAAAUUCUGGAAGCCAAGAGUGAAAUGUCCCCCUCUUUUCCAUGGCAGAAACACACAGCACCUGCAUUACCCAGGAGCUUUUCCUUCAAGCUGGUAACUCUUCCCUGAACAAUCUGCAAGUGUUAUCUCAGUACAUAUCAGAGCAGGCUUUUGCAGGUGACUUCCAGACCAUUCCUCCAUCAGAGCAUAUUCCAGCCUCUCCACGGAAGCAGCACCUUCUGUGACAAAUGGGCUGGAAGCUGAUGCUGUGUUCUUACUUCAGUCUGGCUCCUGCAUAUCUGAAAAUAAAAUGGUCCAAGUCUAGAGUGUCUGCCAGGCCCAUUUACACAUUAGAGUGUGCUUCUCCUCUAUCAGUUUCAUCACACAACUGUGGACCCCUUAGGGUAUAGCAAAACAAAAUUCCUGCUGGAGUGAGCUCAGCUUGCAUGGCAACAUACUCCAAUCAGAAACCAUAUAAGAAGAGUUUGUUGUCGCUCUGUUUUUUUUCUUUUAGCUUUUGCUUACACAUAUGUUUGCUUUCCCUGCUUCCCUUUUUUUAUUUGCCUGCUGUUUCUCACAGUUAUGACAAAGAGCAGGAGAAGGCAUGACUCCCAGGAGCAGAGGACAACCAGCAGUCUAGAAUAGAGUCAAGGAUGUGGAAAUGGAGCCCUUAAGAUGACAGCAAAAGCCCCCUAAGGCAGUAAGUAUUUUGGGUGUAGCAGUACCCUGUUAGGAUGUUUAAACAGUACAUAGCAUUUAUAUCCAGUCUUGGCCUAAACUUUUGCAUGCAUAGAUUGAAUCAGGAAACUUGUCUCAAAAGUGGAAUCCCCUAGUGGAAGUUUGAAAGGACUCAGGCUUGGGUUUUGGAAAAGACUAAAUGGAAGAUUAAAAUCCAGCUUGGAUUUCCUGAAUGCCUAUACUCAGGCCUAGAAUGCCACAGCUGCUCCUUUUUGCUAUGCUGAUGGACCUGGAUGUGCCUCUGCCUCCCAUGAAGAAAAGAGUUCCAAGGACCUUCUGCAGGGUCCUCUCUGGCAGCAUUUCCCAGUGCUCAGGAGCACUAAAAUAUUGCUCUUUGGAUGAGGGCAGCAAUGAGUAGGAUGGAUAAUAUGCAUGGGUUAGGAGAUAAUAGGGGUUUGCCAGCACACAUAUUUCACUUAUUUGUCCCAGCUUGAGAAUGAGAGUAUUUUCUUAACCUGAUGCCAAGAUAUCAGCUUAUCUUGGGUUUCCUUUGAGUUGGGAUCUCUAUAAUAUAUCUUUGGAGAAAUACAAUUGUAGAUAAAAGAGUUGUUUGUUUUGUCCUUUUAAUUACUGACUAUGAAUACAUCAAGAGAUUAAAUAAUGUGGAAAGGGAAAGGAUAUCUACAUUAAAGAACAAUGUUGGCACAGGAGCUAUUAUGCAUAAUCCAGCCAGGAAUUUGGUCUGGAAACCAUAAUAAUUCAAAUAAUCAAAGCAAUCCUGUUCUGUAAUUACUUUCCUGAGGCUGUAGCAUGGACUAGAAAUCUAACUAAUUUUAAGAUACAUUUAUGAACAGGAUUAGAUGAAGUGGUUUAGGUAGCAGGGGACUUGAAUCAAUGACGUAAGAAGUACUUUCCAGUGCUGGAUCACAAGAUCGUAAAUUAAGCUACUGUUCUGCUUCUCCCCUUCAAGUAGCAGCAUGGAGCAAAGAAUUUUCAUGUCUCUAUGGUCACUUCUCUGUUACUCAAUAUGUUAUGAGAUUGAGUUAUCUUGGAUAAUGAUAGUGGAACACGAUGGCCAGAUUGAGUCUGAAUCUGGCAGAAACUUCUGUGUUGAACCUCCUGUAUCCAUAUUCCAAGCAAAUAAAUUCUGACAGACCAGAACUGAGACCUGGAGC
RNAcentral lists this long non-coding RNA (1885 nucleotides) under Cyanistes caeruleus (blue tit). RNAcentral describes it as "lncRNA (ENSCCEG00000020708.1)". Lineage: Eukaryota; Metazoa; Chordata; Aves; Passeriformes; Paridae. The record is from RNAcentral.